CCUACGGGAGGCAGCAGUGGGGAAUAUUUCACAAUGGGGGAAACCCUGAUGCAGCGACGCCGCGUGAGUGAAGAAGUAUUUCUGUCUGUAAAGCUCUAUCAGCAGGGAAGAAAAUGACGGUACCUGAGUAAGCAGCCCCGGCUAACUACGUGCCAGCAGCCGCGGUAAUACGUAGGGGGCAAGCGUUAUCCGGAUUUACUGGGGGUAAAGGGAGCGUAGACGGCAGCACAAGUCUGGAGUGAAAUGCCGGGGCUUAACCCCGGAACUGCUUUGGAAACUGUGCAGCUAGAGUGCAGGAGAGGUAAGUGGAAUUCCUAGUGUAGCGGUGAAAUGCGUAGAUAUUAGGAGGAACACCAGUGGCGAAGGCGGCUUACUGGACUGUAACUGACGUUGAGGCUCGAAAGCGUGGGGAGCAAACAGGAUUAGAUACCCCAGUAGUG
RNAcentral lists this ribosomal RNA (440 nucleotides) under uncultured bacterium. RNAcentral describes it as "partial 16S ribosomal RNA". It matches the Rfam family "Bacterial small subunit ribosomal RNA", at positions 338 to 795 of the family's 1533-position model. The record is from RNAcentral.